Molecule: ribosomal RNA, 428 nt
Filed under: uncultured archaeon
Lineage: Archaea
Description: bacterial SSU rRNA
Rfam family: Archaeal small subunit ribosomal RNA
Source: RNAcentral
UACCCGCAGUCCGAGUGGUAGUCGAUUUUAUUGGGCCUAAAGCGUCCGUAGCCGGUCUGGUAAAUGCCUGGGUAAAUCGUCUGGCUUAACCAAACGAAUUCCGGGUAGACUACCAGACUUGGGACCGGUUGAGGGAGAGGGUACUUCAGGGGUAGGAGUGAAAUCUUGUAAUCCCUGAAGGACCACCAGUGGCGAAGGCGCUCUCCUAGAACGGGUCCGACGGUGAGGGACGAAAGCCAGGGGAGCAAACCGGAUUAGAUACCCGGGUAGUCCUGGCCGUAAACGAUGCGGGCUUUGCAUUGGGGGUCCUACGUGGGCGCCCAGUGCCGUAGCGAAGGCGUUAAGCCCGCCGCCUGGGAAGUAUGGUCGCAAGGCUGAAACUUAAGGAAUUGGCGGGGGAGCACCGCAAUGGGAGGAGCGUGCGGUUU